This 326-nucleotide long non-coding RNA is filed under the name Elaeis guineensis (African oil palm). RNAcentral's name for it is "long non-coding RNA (EGUI_LNC005510)". Lineage: Eukaryota; Viridiplantae; Streptophyta; Magnoliopsida; Arecales; Arecaceae. The record is from RNAcentral.
AGGAGCGUCGGAGGAAGCGGUUGGUGGUCGAGAUGUUCUCGUCCUUUUACUCGACAAUCAUCGGGGUAAGCUUCUUCGGUAAAAUCCUUCUUUCUUUUUCUCUCUUCUUUUUUUUUUUAACGACUUAUCUUUUGUCUGUAGUUGAUGCAUGACAUGUCCGAUCUAGAGGUCGGCUACACAAAGUUCGCAGACAUUCGGAGUGCAUGGAAGAAUAAGGUGGCGGCCACUGAUGCUGAAAAGACGAUCGUACUUGAACAACUCAAGUCGACGAUGGAGCGGAAAGCUAAACUUCAUGAGAAGAUUUUCCGACUUAUCGACGACUUGGC